This 180-nucleotide unclassified non-coding RNA is filed under the name uncultured Ascomycota. Its description in RNAcentral is "sequence contains ITS2". The record is from RNAcentral. Lineage: Eukaryota; Fungi; Ascomycota.
AAAUCGUCAAGCUUCGCUUGGUAUUGGGUCUCGCCUGUCGGGCGGACCCGCAAAUCAGUGGCGAUCUUCCAUCGACUCCAGCCUUAUAAUUCAAUGGUGCUGUGGAGCCGACGAGUGGAUCCGCCAUCCACCCCCAUAUCCCCCACAAAUUGGAUCGGGGUGGACCCCAACCUCUCACAC